Molecule: ribosomal RNA, 504 nt
Filed under: uncultured bacterium
Lineage: Bacteria
Description: bacterial SSU rRNA
Rfam family: Bacterial small subunit ribosomal RNA
Source: RNAcentral
AACGAACGCUGGCGGCGUGUUUAAGACAUGCAAGUCGUACGGGGAAUUUGAAUAGCUUGCUAAUUGAAUUCCUAGUGGCGCACGGGUGAGUAACACGUGAGUUACAUGCCCUGCAGAGGGGGAUAGCCCGCCGAAAGGCGGAUUAAUACCCCAUGGUCCCGCAAGGGUAAAGGGGGCUUCGGCUCCCGCUGCAGGAUUGGCUCGCGUCCUAUCAGCUUGUUGGUAAGGUAACGGCUUACCAAGGCAACGACGGGUAGCUGGUCUGAGAGGACGAUCAGUCACACUGGAACUGAGACACGGUCCAGACACCUACGGGUGGCAGCAGUCGAGAAUAAUUCACAAUGGGGGCAACCCUGAUGGUGCAACGCCGCGUGGAGGAUGAAGGCCCUAGGGUCGUAAACUCCUGUCAUUUGAGAGUAAGACCUGGCGGUCAAUAGCCGACAGGGUUGAUAGUAUCAAAAGAGGAAGGGACGGCUAACUUCGUGCCAGCCGCCGCCGUAACAC